This 265-nucleotide ribosomal RNA is filed under the name Bacillus thuringiensis serovar morrisoni. RNAcentral's name for it is "partial 16S ribosomal RNA". It matches the Rfam family "Bacterial small subunit ribosomal RNA", at positions 35 to 288 of the family's 1533-position model. Lineage: Bacteria; Bacillati; Bacillota; Bacilli; Caryophanales; Bacillaceae. The record is from RNAcentral. RNAcentral also lists the same sequence under 5 other names.
GCUGGCGGCGUGCCUAAUACAUGCAAGUCGAGCGAAUGGAUUAAGAGCUUGCUCUUAUGAAGUUAGCGGCGGACGGGUGAGUAACACGUGGGUAACCUGCCCAUAAGACUGGGAUAACUCCGGGAAACCGGGGCUAAUACCGGAUAACAUUUUGAACUGCAUGGUUCGAAAUUGAAAGGCGGCUUCGGCUGUCACUUAUGGAUGGACCCGCGUCGCAUUAGCUAGUUGGUGAGGUAACGGCUCACCAAGGCAACGAUGCGUAGCC